CCUAGGGUGGCAGAAGUAGGGAAUAGUGCUCAAUGGGGGAAACCCUGAAGCAGCAACGCCGCGUGGAGGAGGAAGGUUUUCGGAUUGUAAACGCCUUUUGGUAGAGAAGAUAAGGACGGGAGCGAACGAAGAAGCACCGGCGAACUCCGUGCCAGCAGCCGCGGGAAUACGGAGGGUGCAAGCGUUACUCGGAAGCACUGGGCGUAAAGAGCGCGUAGGCGGGAUCGCAAGUCAGAUGUGAAAGCCUAUGGCGUAACCAUAGAACUGCAUUUGAAACGGUUAUUCUAGAGUAUGGGAGAGGUUGGUUGAAUUCUUGGUGUCGUGGUUCAAUCCGUAGCGAUC
RNAcentral lists this ribosomal RNA (342 nucleotides) under uncultured bacterium. RNAcentral describes it as "partial 16S ribosomal RNA". It matches the Rfam family "Bacterial small subunit ribosomal RNA", at positions 338 to 698 of the family's 1533-position model. The record is from RNAcentral.